CCUACGGGAGGCAGCAGUCGAGAAUCAUUCACAAUGGGGGAAACCCUGAUGGUGCGACGUCGCGUGGGGGAAUGAAGGUCUUCGGAUUGUAAACCCCUGUCAUGUGGGAGCAAAUUAAAAAGAUAGUACCACAAGAGGAAGAGACGGCUAACUCUGUGCCAGCAGCCGCGGUAAUACAGAGGUCUCAAGCGUUGUUCGGAAUCACUGGGCGUAAAGCGUGCGUAGGCUGUUUCGUAAGUCGUGUGUGAAAGGCGCGGGCUCAACCCGCGGACGGCACAUGAUACUGCGAGACUAGAGUAAGGGAGGGGGAACCGGAAUUCUCGGUGUAGCAGUGAAAUGCGUAGAUAUCGAGAGGAACACUCGUGGCGAAGGCGGGUUCCUGGACAUUAACUGACGCUGAGGCACGAAGGCCAGGGGAGCGAAAGGGAUUAGAUACCCGAGUAGUC
This 446-nucleotide ribosomal RNA is filed under the name uncultured bacterium. Its description in RNAcentral is "partial 16S ribosomal RNA". It matches the Rfam family "Bacterial small subunit ribosomal RNA", at positions 338 to 795 of the family's 1533-position model. The record is from RNAcentral.